CAGCAGUGGGGAAUCUUGCACAAUGGGCGAAAGCCUGAUGCAGCGAUGCCGCGUGCGGGAAGAAGGCCCUAGGGUUGUAAACCGCUUUCAGGAGGGAAGAAAAUGACGGUACCUCCAGAAGAAGGUGCGGCCAACUACGUGCCAGCAGCCGCGGUGACACGUAGGCACCAAGCGUUAUCCGGAUUUAUUGGGCGUAAAGAGCUCGUAGGCGGUUUGGUAAGUCGGGUGUGAAAACUCUGGGCUCAACCCAGAGAGGCCACUCGAUACUGCUAUGACUAGAGUACGGUAGGGGAGCGGGGAAUUCCUGGUGUAGCGGUGAAAUGCGCAGAUAUCAGGAGGAACACCAGCGGCGAAGGCGCCGCUCUGGGCCGUAACUGACGCUGAGGAGCGAAAGCAUGGGUAGCAAACAGGAUUAGAUACCCUGGUAGUCCAUGCCGUAAACGUUGGGCACUAGGUGUGGGUCUCAACCAACGAGAUCCGCGCCGUCGCUAACGCAUUAAGUGCCCCGCCUGGGGAGUACGGUCGCAAGACUAACUCA
RNAcentral lists this ribosomal RNA (538 nucleotides) under uncultured Actinomycetes bacterium. RNAcentral describes it as "bacterial SSU rRNA". It matches the Rfam family "Bacterial small subunit ribosomal RNA", at positions 349 to 903 of the family's 1533-position model. Lineage: Bacteria; Bacillati; Actinomycetota; Actinomycetes. The record is from RNAcentral.